Stegodyphus dumicola is the source of this 5813-nucleotide long non-coding RNA. The record is from RefSeq and is a predicted model, not a curated record. NCBI's taxonomy places the organism in Eukaryota, Metazoa, Arthropoda, Arachnida, Araneae, Eresidae.
CUUCUUUACUAUAUUUUAUUUUAAAAUUUAGAUAAAGAUCCAUUUGAUCCUUUUGGCCUUUCAAAAACAAAUGCCAACUCUGCUGUUGUGGGUUUUGAUGCUGACCCAUUUGGUGCUGAUCCUUUUGGACCUGUAGCACCACCUAGGCCAGAGAGCCCAACACCUGCAUUACCACCUAAAAAGAGUAAGGCACCUCCUCCUAGACCCGCACCUCCUAAAGUUGGAACAGCCCCUUCAAAACCAGGACCAACACGGGCAGCACCUGCCCCACCCAUACCUGCUGCAGUUGACCCUUUCAAGCCAGCAGAUUUAGAGAAUUCCAGCAAUAAUGCAGCCUUCCCAGAUUUAUUUUCCAAACCAGCUAAGACUCAAGAUGCAUUUGACCCUUUCUCUAAUGCAACCACAGCAUCAGACAACUUUGCUAACUUUGAUAAUUUCGCUGAUUUUGACAACGUCAAGUGAAAGUGUUUGCUGCUAUCUGUAGUCAUAUAAACUAUGUAUAUUUUUAAUUUUAGGGUCAACACUUCAGAAAAUAAGACUGUAUGUCAUAUAGUUGUAAGUAACUAGAGGCUAAGAUUCAUGCAAAAAUCUUUAAACUAGUUGGAAUAAACUUUUGCUUUUUCUUCAUACAUUUCUUCUUUCAUAUAAAAGAAUGUGAAAAGUUUUCAUUAAUUUUUUCUUUUAAGUUAAAAAUGAAAUUGCUUGUAAUAUGCAUACAAAUUUUAUGUAUAUAUGUAUUAUGAUAUUAAUCAUUUAAGGUGCUGUCAAUAAGCAGUGGUGCCUUUGCAUAUUUAAAGCUAAAUUUCAUAUCUCAUGAAAUUUAAAUAUGAAUAUAUAAAAAUGAAUGAAACAUUAUUAUGUAAUAUGAAUGAAAUAUGAAUUUUAAAACAUUUUUAUUAUUUAUUUCAUCAUAAAACUUAAAAAGUGCAUAUUUAGAAAGAUAUAUAUAUGACAACAUAUUUGCACAGUAAGUAUUUGAGCACAAAAGAGUGAAAUUAUUUGUGUAAUUCCAACAUUGUUCUUGAAGAUAGUCAAAACUCUAAAAUCAUCAGUAGUAUUAGUUGUAAGGUUAAAGAAAUUAUGUGAGUAUUAUUUAGGACUACAGAAGUUUUAAAAUUUUGUUCUUAAUCUCGAAAACUUCUGCUAAAUUUAAUUUUCAGUCAAUGUAGCGGCUAAAAUAACAUCCCUUUUGUGUUUACAAGAAAAGUAUUUUUAGUACAAGUAUUUAAAAAUUGAUGUACAAAAACAUUGGGAGUUGAUCUAUUCUAAAUUUAUAAAUAAAAAAUUUGUUUAAUGUCUUUACUCUAAAAAAUGCAUUAUUUUUUUAUGAACAUCCCAUAAUCUGCUCUUUUAGCUUUUUUUAUUUAUAAACGCAAAACAUGCAUAGUCUUCAGCCUAUGUAAUAGUAUUUUGCGAACUUAUCCCCCCCCCCGUUUUAUUUUACUUUUGUAUGUAUAAAUUACUUUAUUUAUCUUCAUGGGCUUUCACUUUUAACAUCCAAUGUAAUGUAUUUAUUAUUUUUUAGUUAUGAAAAUGCAUUGACAAAUGAGGGGGGGGAGAAUGACUGUUUUGACAUUUUGAGAAACUUCUAGUUUUUAAUGAUACUCUGUUCUUUUGGUUCUUAUGAAAUAAAUGGGAAGGGCCUGCAUUGAGCUCUUUCGAUACUUAUUUAUGGAAGAAAACUAGUUUCAAGACAAAAUUUCUGCAUUCAGAAUUGUAAAAAAAAAUUGCUUAACAUAUUCGCUGUUGAUCACGCCCUGGCACAUGAUUACUGUUAUUGCUGAAAAGCCAAUCGCGCUGUGGUGCAUAGUGUAGGGUCUCAGGUACCAGUCACAGGCUGGCACAAGAAAAGCAAUGUUUCAUUGUUUAUUUUCAAGUUCAAUCAACAUUGUAUUUUGAAAUGUAUGCUGGUAUUGCCGUGGUGUGAAGGUUAGAAACUAGUUCUAAAUGCAUGUGGUUUGGAAUGAAGACAAAGUUUCAUUUCAUGCAAAGAUCAUACACAAAUAACAUUCUGAAAUAUAUAUUUUGCAAUAAUAUUAUAACUAUCUUAUAAUAAUAAAUUAAUUUAUAAUGUAUAUAUUUAAUAGCAGUAUAGUUUCAUACAAAGAGAAUGUAUAUUGUUAUUUAUUUUGAUUCAUUUUUAAAUGCAACACCCCAGUGCGUAAUGCGGCAUUGCAGCUAGAGAUCAGGUACUGAUGUAUAGUCAUAAAAUUCAUAAUAUUCUAUUCUUAAAGCAAUCAAUGUGGUACACAUAAUGAUCUUUUAUUACCUGUUUUUAAAUCAUGUUUCUUAUAAUAAGCAAGUCGACAGACAUAUGGGUAAAAUCUAUUUCUGUGACACAGAAUUAACUAUCAACAUGACUUUACAUGACCAGCAGCGAAUAUGUUAAGUGUAUAAUUUUGUUAUAUUAAAGUGUUUGAUUAAGAAAACUUUGUGUGCUUAGUGCAGCAUUCUUUCAAAGCCCCCAGUACAUGCUUUCCUUAUGUUUAUGAAACCCAAAAAAAAAAAAAAAAGGAGGAGGGGUUAUUCUGAAUUAUAAGUUGAUUUGGGAAGUCUCUUAUUAUAUGAGAUCCUAGCAGUACCCAAGCCCUGCAUAUCAUGCAUAGGAAAAAAGUUCAUUGUUCGCAAAACAAAACAAAAUCAAAAAAAAAGAAGGGGGGAGAACAAAAAGGUCCCACCUCCAAUUAAACACAAAGCUUUUAACCUGAUUAUGUAGUUAGUUUAAAGGAUUUUUUUAAUAAAUAAUUAACAGUAAGAUUAAUCUUUAACUGCUUGCAUAUAAUUAAUUGUAAAUAAUUAUAAUAAUAUAUUUAGGUAUGCAUAACAAGUGUAUAAAUAUUUAUAUCUUAAAAAUUUUUCCAACUAAGUUUAUUGAUGUUUGCAUCAGUUAUGUGUUUAAUCUUUGAAGAUUAGUAGUAUGAAUGAUGUGUGUGACAUAACUCUUUGACCUAUGUAAAUAUUUGUUGCUUGUGAAUGUAUUGUUUGUUUAUCUAUAAUGUGAAAUAAGAUAGUUCUAUUAGAAUCUCAUAGGAACUAAAGUUAAUGUGAUUCCCUUCUCUGUGAAAUAUACAACUUUGCAAAAAAUGAAGUUAAUUUUCUUUGAAUACUUUUUUGUAUAAAAAGCAGAUUCAGAUUUUUUUAAUAUGAGAAUUUCAUCUCGUACUUUUAACAACUAGCACUAAAAAAAUUUACUGUUGACUUUAUUGUAAAUGCCAUUAUGUAUUUAUUCUAAGGAAUAUUAUCUAAUGACAGCAAAGCUAAAGUGUAUGAAGUACGUCUGUCCUCAGAUUGCAAAAGCUUAUGCUGUUUGAUGUAAAUUUACUUUUAUUUUUCAUUUUUAUAAAAAAAAAUUUUUGAAACUUACUUAAAUAUGUAUUUUUCUGUGUGGAAGUUAUGGUAAAAUCAAAAACUUUAAAGUAUAAAGCUAUUUAAAAUUUGUUAAAGGUGUUUGCCUUUUUUUAUAUAUAAUUGUAGGUAUUGAAGAGAAAAAUAAAGAAUUAACAUUUUUAAUUGCUAAUGCAUAAUUGUGGAUUUUCAUGCAUAAUAUGGGAUGGCUAUGAAAACAUCAGUUUGAGCAAUAUUUUACAAAUUUAGCUGUUGCAUAUAUAAAACAUAUAUUUCAAGUAUUACAGGUCUUUUCUUUAUCAAACACUAAACAGCAUAUUUGUAAGCUUUUUCUUGUGAUGAUUAUUCCAGGUUGAUAAAUUUUGCAAGCUAAGUCCUUAAUUAUUUAUCAUUGUUGUGGCAUUACUGAAGGUAUGUUACAAGGUAUAUAUAUUGUAAUAAACGAGAAGAAAUUCCAAAUCUAUUAAGAAUCCUGUAUAUGAAAUGCAAACUUAUUAGAAAUGUGUUAUAAGUUAAAGAAUAAUUGUUCUGAAAUGGUAGUUGGUGUUGAAUAUAUUGGUUCAUACGUUUCACAUAAAGGUUAUCUAUCACUUUAUAAUUUUCAUAUAAGUCUAUGAAGUGUGAAGAUCUGUCACUUGAGAGCUUUAUUUCUUUUAUUUUUUAGGCUAGUAAUGCACUCAUAUUUCUUUAUUAUUGCAUGGAGGCAGUAUAUCCAUUAUUUAUAUUACUACAGUAAAACAAUUUUUAUGCUAGUAAUUGAAAUAAAGUAAAACAUUUAAUCUAUGUAGUAAAAAUUUAUAUCAAAUUUUAAGUGCCUGCAUCUUUUCACAUUUAUUUUGAUUGUAAAGGGGGAAAAAAUUCCCCAUGCAAUAGGAAAGGGGCAGUUUACCCUGACCCUAUCCUCUAUUUAAGAAAUAUAAUUGUUUCUUGCUAUUAAUCAUUUUGAAUAUAUCUUGAAUUUACUUCCUUUAUUCCAUUUCAGAUUGUAAAUUAAAUUUAAAAUAUAUAUUGCAUAAAUUUAUUAGAAUUUGUAAUAAACUAACUUUUUAGGUACAGUUUUAAAGUUUCUUUUGAUUGUUAUAUAUUUGCAUGCAUUUUAUGCAUGCAUAAAGUUAUGAACUUCUUUUUCUUCUGUUGCUUUCAUAUACUUUUAUAGUAAGUAUAUUUAAAACAUACAUUAACUCGCAUUCUGUUAGUUUUAAAUUAUUUGAUUUGCCUGGGGUGUUACUUAUAUUCAUUGUCAUUUUUGUAGUUUCUAAUAAUGUAUAAAUUUUCAAGUAUUAUUUUGCUUUUUGACUCCAUUUUCUGCAUAAUGCAUUUCUUUUCUUCUGUUUUUUUUAAUUGACUAUUAAAUUAGUAAUUAUUUUACAUAUAAAUACACUAACUACAAUAAUGGAGUAUGUAUGAAUUUAUUAAAUAUAUUUCUGAAUAUAAACAUAUUUUGUUCAUAUAAGCAUACACUAUCUAGUAUUUCUUUAAUUUAAUUAAUUGUUUUUAAUGGUUAAGUGAAUAAUAAUGCAGGUUUAUAUGUUGUGAAUAUCUGUUCCCGUUUUAAUAAUAAUUUCAGAACUAAUUAAUCAGUUAUAAACUGGUGACAUUAUGAUGUAAUGUGCAUUCAUUUUAUUUUAUCAUAUCGAGAAUGUUGAGAAAUACAUUUUUCUUGAAUUUCUUAAUGCCUGGGAAAUAUAAUAAUACAUAUGUGUUGGCUGCUAAUUAGAACAGCAUCUGUUUUUAUAUCACUGCCGUAUAGUUGUAGUUAAUAUUUAGAUUGUUUUUUAUACUAGCUAUCUUCUGAAGCAUAAUAAAUUGGUAUACUUUUUGUCCACAGAUUAAAAUUAUAACAUAGUUAAGAUUAUUAGCCGGAAAUGUAUUUUUUUAUGGAAAUAUAAAAGCAUAUUUUAUUUGAGUUACCUACUUUAAGCUAGUUGAUUAUUUACCAGGCAUUAAAUGAUAAUCAUUUAACAUUGUUGCAUUUACAAAUCUUAGUGUUUAUUUAAUAUUUGGAUGAAUAUUAUUUAUGGAAGGUUACAAGAAAAAUUACAUAUUGCUUUUAUUAAAUGAGAAAAAUUCUUAUUGUCUUUUAAAUUUCCUACAGAGUUUAUUGAAAACUAAUUAUGAAUAUAUAUAAUGUAAAAUGAUCUCUAAUGUGUUGUGUUUUUCUCUGCUCAGCAUACAACAUUCAGAACUUUUUACGCUUCCAUAAAUAACUGGCUGUAUUUGUUGUUUCUGUGUUUUACAUUGAAAUCAUUUCAUAAUCAAUGUUUUUUCUAGUCUCAACUCUCAUAAAGUUUAUUUUAUAAUUUUAUUUCCAUAAAGUUGCUACUCUUCAUAUGCCUUGUAGUAACUUCUUGGAAAUUUUUUGUGUGUAUACUUAAAGCUGUAAACAUAUGCUGAGACUCAGUGAAAAAUUGUUGAAAAUAUAAAUUAAUUUUUCCCAAUAAAUUUUAAUAAAAAGAUUUGUAGUUUCA